UAGGGAAUCUUCCGCAAUGGGCGAAAGCCUGACGCAGCAACGCCGCGUGAGUGAUGAAGGCCUUCGGAUCGUAAAACUCUGUCACCAGGGAAGAACAAAUGUGUAAGUAACUAUGAACGUCUUGACGGUACCUAAUCAGAAAGCCACGGCUAACUACGUGCGAGCAGCUGCGGUAAUACGUAGGUGGCAAGCGUUAUCCGGAAUUAUUGGGCGUAAAGCGCGCGUAGGCGGUUUUGUAAGUCUGAUGUGAAAGCCGACGGCUCAACCGUGGAAGUGCAUUGGAAACUGGAAAGCUUGAGUGCAGAAGAGGAAGGUGGAAUUCCAUGUGUAGCGGUGAAAUGCGGAGAGAUAUAGAGAAACACCAGGGGCGAAGGCGACUUUCUGGUCUGUAACUGACGCUGAUGUGCGAAAGCGUGGGGAUCAAACAGG
Molecule: ribosomal RNA, 429 nt
Filed under: Actinomycetes bacterium
Lineage: Bacteria; Bacillati; Actinomycetota; Actinomycetes
Description: Actinobacteria bacterium partial 16S ribosomal RNA
Rfam family: Bacterial small subunit ribosomal RNA
Source: RNAcentral